AUGUCGGCGGUUCUCGGACGGAUGACGACGACGACGACGACGACGAUGAUGAUGAUGGUCUGGGUUUGGAUCAGUCUGCUGACUCUAGCCCGGUUCAACACGGCACAGGACCAGCACCGGGACGCCGAGCUCACGGCGCUGCUGGAGGAGACCGGGAGCGGCGGAAGACUUUCUCCGGUGCCGGUGUGGAAGUUCCUGAACGAGCGCCGUGACGGUGGUGAGGCGUCAGAUUUCGGCCGGGCGCAGUAUCUCUGCAGCGGCAGCUCGCUGUCUGUUCGCUUCUCGCUCAUUCGACACACUGAUCUGCGCCUGGCAGACGGGAGGAGGUUGUUGACAGAUGGAUGUCAAGGUUCUGUUCGUAACCUCGGGCCGUGGAUGCUGCUGACGCUGCCUUAUACCAGCUGCCACUUGGCAUUAUGGGUUUCAAAUGGAACCUGGUUUCGUCAGCUGAGACUUCGUUACUUUGACCAUCUGCUGCAGGCAAACGUAACUGGUCUGGCCACCUGUGAGAAUCCUGCAACAUCCCUGCAACUGAUGCCACCGUUGGUGACUUGCAGAACAACAGAUGUCACUGUGAAACUGCCUCUUGGAACGUCGGGCGCCCGUGGUGGUGGUCGCCGUGGGGGUCGUCGUCGGGGCAUCAGACGUGUCAGCCAGUGGUGGGGGCGCCCGUGGUGGUGGUCGUCGUCGUGGCGCCCGUGGUGCUGCUGGUGGUGGUCGUCGUCGCCGGGGCGCCCGUGGUGCUGCUGGUGGUCGUCGUCGGGGCGCAAGUGGUGGUGGUGGUGGUGGUGGUCGUCGUCGUCGCGCAAGUGGUGGUGGUGCUGGUACUGGUGGUAGUCGUCGGGGCACCAGGGGUGUCGAUUCCGGUAUACGGCCCUUCAGAAAUUUCAUCAAAUCCCCACAACUCAAAGAUUUCUGUGUCAGCAUCAGUCACUUCGUCAUUCCGGAACCCACUGGGCUCCGUCGGUUCCUGGAUGACGGGCUCCACUAGAACUUGCUCAAAGUCCCAAAGCUCCCACAGGUUGGGGUUUUGGAGAGCUCUUGGGUGUCGAUCCCGCCUAGUUUGUGUUGCUGCAGUGGAACAAGCUGCCAGCAUCGUGGAUGUUUU
Molecule: long non-coding RNA, 1108 nt
Filed under: Dicentrarchus labrax (European seabass)
Lineage: Eukaryota; Metazoa; Chordata; Actinopteri; Moronidae
Description: lncRNA (ENSDLAG00005034579.1)
Source: RNAcentral